GACGAACGCUGGCGGCGUGCCUAAUACAUGCAAGUUGAGCGCUGAAGGUUGGUACUUGUACCCACUGGAUGAGCAGCGAACGGGUGAGUAACGCGUGGGGAAUCUGCCUUUGAGCGGGGGACAACAUUUGGAAACGAAUGCUAAUACCGCAUAAAAACUUUAAACACAAGUUUUAAGUUUGAAAGAUGCAAUUGCAUCACUCAAAGAUGAUCCCGCGUUGUAUUAGCUAGUUGGUGAGGCAAAGGCUCACCAAGGCGAUGAUACAUAGCCGACCUGAGAGGGUGAUCGGCCACAGUGGGAAUGAGACACGGCCCAAACUCCUACGGGAGGCAGCAGUAGGGAAUCUUCGGCAAUGGACGAAAGUCUGACCGAGCAACGCCGCGUGAGUGAAGAAGGUUUUCGGAUCGUAAAAAUCGGUUGGUAGAGAAGAACGUUGGUGAGAGUGGAAAGCUCAUCAAGUGACGGUAACUACCCAGAAAGGGACGGCUAACUACGUG
This 497-nucleotide ribosomal RNA is filed under the name uncultured bacterium. Its description in RNAcentral is "partial 16S ribosomal RNA". It matches the Rfam family "Bacterial small subunit ribosomal RNA", at positions 28 to 507 of the family's 1533-position model. The record is from RNAcentral.